AUGGCAAUCCAUAGUUGUAACUUAGACGUUAUAGAGGGCAUUCCAGUAAAAAAGGAGGCUAAGUAUUUAGGGGUUAUGAUUACAAAUAAUGUUGUUAAUAGAGAACAUUCAAAUUUUAAUUCUAAAAUAGAAAGUAUGAAAAAAUCCUUAAAUCAUUGGUUAUCUCGAGACCUAUCUAUAUUGGGUAGAAUUCUCUUAACUAAAACUAAGGGAAUAUCCAAACUUAUUUACUUAUCUCAAGCCUUGUAUACUGCCCAGAGAGUAAUUAAAUCGGUGAAUUCAAUCUUAUUUAAGUUUAUUUGGAAAAAUAAAACGCAUUAUCUACGUAAAUUUCAUAUGGUAAAAGAGUAUGAACAUGGAGGUUUGAGAGCCAUUGACUUUGAAUCUCUUCUUGGUACAUUCAGAAUAAAAUGGUUGAAAGAGUGUUUAACAAAGUCUCACUCGAUAUGGUACCAUAUUCCUAACCACAUUUUAAAAAAAAUUGGCGGCAUUGAUUUUGUGUUGAGAUAUGAUCUCGACCCUUGUAAAAUUCCUCUGAAGGUAUCUAAUUUUCAUAAACAAGUACUGUUAUUUUGGAAAAUUAUGUUUACCCAUAACUUUUCCCCUCACAACUCCACUCUUUGGAACAAUAGGGUUGUAAUUAUUAAUAGAAAAUCUCUGUUUAAAAGUGAUUGGUAUAGCCAAGGUAUUUUUUUUAUUCAUGAUUUGUUAGAUGAGAAUGGCUUUUUCUUAUCUUAUAUUGAUUUAAUUAGUAAAUACAAAGUUAAAAUUACAUUAAAAGGUUAUAAUAAGGUAUGCAAUGCUAUACCUACUGGAUUGUUAAGAAAAAUCCAAAGUAGUUUUUCUGAUCUUUUAUCUAGACCAGUAGUUUCUCUUCCCUCUUUGAAAAUAUGUAAUGUUGACCUCUUAGACUAUAAGUAUAAUAACAAACUUAUUUAUAAAGAACUUAAACGUAUCAUCACUGGUGAUUAUAAAUGUUAUUUUCUGGGAGAUGUUGAAACCUCAGUAAGGGACAAAGCUUUUACCCGUUAUAUGGCUUACCCAGUUGCUCCAAAGGUCAAGGAGACUCAUUAUAAAAUUAUGUUUAGGAUAUAUCCAGUUAGAGACUUUAUACAAAAACGAUUUCAUUUCGAUGUGGAUCCUUGUGGUUUCUGCUUUUCAUUUCCUGAAACACUCGAUCACCUUUUCUUUUACUGUGAGGUUUCUUCUAAAUUUUGGUUUGAUAUACAUAGCUGGUUGUCAGUAAAAAUGGAGACAGUUUCUCCUACAACCCGGCAAGACGUGCUCUUUUUUAAAUGUGAUCUUACAUUGUUGGUUACCUGUCUUGUUAUGUAA
RNAcentral lists this long non-coding RNA (1335 nucleotides) under Carassius auratus (goldfish). RNAcentral describes it as "lncRNA (ENSCARG00000054781.1)". Lineage: Eukaryota; Metazoa; Chordata; Actinopteri; Cypriniformes; Cyprinidae. The record is from RNAcentral.